UGUUGAGUUAUUUAAAUUCUCUUAUUCUGGUUCUACAAUUUUGUUAUGAGAAUCCUUGUUUGAGUGGAAUUCUACAGAUUUCAGAAUCAGAUCAUCUGAUCUUUCUGAAACUUUGGUAUGUUCUUCUCCUAUAUUAGAUUACUUUGGUAUGUUCUUCUAUAUUAGAGUAGUAUUUGACCAGAAUUUAAAUCAUAUCUGAUUCUUUGAUUCUUUGUUAUUGAAUUUUCUUUGAAUCUGGUUCCUUCUUUCCUGCGAUUCUGAAGAUUUCUGUUGGUUUCUAAACCCUAUUGUUGUUGUUGAUUCGAACCACAUUAACUAGAGGCUAGUUGAUGCAUUUGCCAGUGA
Telopea speciosissima is the source of this 345-nucleotide long non-coding RNA. RefSeq lists it as uncharacterized. NCBI's taxonomy places the organism in Eukaryota, Viridiplantae, Streptophyta, Magnoliopsida, Proteales, Proteaceae. The record is from RefSeq and is a predicted model, not a curated record. The transcript is spliced from 3 exons.